GUGCCCCACUUUGGCAGCACAUGUGCUAAAGUUGGAAUUAUAAAGGGAAGAUUAGCAUGGCCUCUGUGCCAGGAUGAUACACGCGAGUUCAUGAAGUGUUCCAUAUUUGA
This is a small nuclear RNA of Ailuropoda melanoleuca (giant panda), 110 nucleotides long. NCBI's taxonomy places the organism in Eukaryota, Metazoa, Chordata, Mammalia, Carnivora, Ursidae. The record is from Ensembl.